This 85-nucleotide transfer RNA is filed under the name Felis catus (domestic cat). It matches the Rfam family "tRNA". From Rfam's summary of the family: Transfer RNA (tRNA) molecules are approximately 80 nucleotides in length. Lineage: Eukaryota; Metazoa; Chordata; Mammalia; Carnivora; Felidae. The record is from Rfam by way of RNAcentral.
GCCUGGGUGGCUCAGUCGGUUGAGCGUCUGACUUUGGCUCGGGUCAUGAUCUCACAGUCUGUGAGUUCGAGCCCCGCAUCGGGCU